CAGAUCAUAUUUGAAGCCAUCCGAGGCCCAUCACUACGAAGUGAUAUUUCUAUUGAUGACAUCUCCUUUAAAAGAGGACCAUGUGAAGAUCCCGGGGACUUCGCUCCGUACUCAGGCUUCUCUGAGUAUUUUAAUGAGAUCGAGAAAUGAGAAAGCGAGAAGUCUUUCUAUAUAAAAGUUUGCGGGUUUCAGAAGUGUGACUAAUCCACCGACAAUUUACAAAGUUGUAGAGCGAUGCUUAUAGUGUGUUGCAGCCAGUACCUCUAGAUCAGUGUGUCUAUCUCUCUUCACCUCUGAGUCUGCCAUUUUAAUGUUGGUGCAUUCAUUUUCAAAUGUUUAUAUUUUUAAUUGGAUUACAUCCUUGUCCCUGUGACAAUCAGAUACACAGCCACUGUGUUAAAGCCGGUCAUACAAAUAUUUGUUAACUAUGCUGUAGAUGAAUGAAAAAAUGUAUUUCAGUUACAAAGCACUAAUGAUGUGCUACUUCAUAACCAAAUGUCCUAUCAGGUACACAGGGGUUCUAUUCACGAUGUUAAAAAUGAUGUCAAAAAACUUGAAUUGAACUUCUGCUCAGUACGGGGCCGACAGAGCCAAACCUUUGACUAUGACCCAAACAGGAGGGGAAACACGCUGCAGUUUGAAAAUAAAAAAAUUAUGCAAAUAAAAAAACACAAAUGUAUUUCAUUUUACAUGCAAAUAAAGAACCAUCAUCAACAACUUUACAAAACAUGUGCAGCAUUUUGAAAAAUAUUCACCACCUUGAGGAAACAUGAGCCGGGUUUACUAAAAGUGCUGCAUGAACGAAACGCUGCAAAUAUAAAAAAGCUGCAAGAAGGCCAAAAUACAACGGACACCAGGGGGCACAGUUGGACCGCAGUGGGGCCGGAGCGCUAGGUGAUGUUCAGGAUUAUAAAGUUAGCCAAAUGUCACUGUAGCAGUUAGUCUUUGCCAUACCUGUAAGUGAUUGUCAGUAUAUUUGUAAUGACUCGAUUAGCUACCUUAGCUAUAGCUUGGAGCAGAUGUGCAAUAAUAUCAGAAGGAGUCAUGCGAUCACAUUGUUAAAAAUAAGCUGAUAAAACUUACAUUUUAGUUUUUUAUUUGCAACAUUUUGUUUGUGCAGUGCUUUCACUUACAGUAACGUUGCAUAUGUUUUGUAAAUGUUUUCAAAAAGAUUUGCACGUGUUGUCAAGUCGUUAAAGAUGUUUCUAUAUUUGCAUGUGUUUUGGCACAUUUGUGUUUUUAUAUUUGAAACUUUUUUAAAGCGUAUUUCUCCUGAUGGAAAUGUUUUGGGCCGUUGGAACACGUUUUAACCUUUCGGCCACCGUAGCUCAGGGUGAGAUGAUUUAGUCUAAUUGGGCAAAACAUUGAAAUCUGUAUGGAUUACAAAAUGUGGAACCAUGUAAUUACACACUUUGGUUGCUAUUGGCAAUGAGCCUUGAUCACUGCCAUGAAACAAAGCACACUUCCGCACAACAACAC
Molecule: long non-coding RNA, 1479 nt
Organism: Notothenia coriiceps (black rockcod)
Lineage: Eukaryota; Metazoa; Chordata; Actinopteri; Perciformes; Nototheniidae
Exons: 2
Source: RefSeq, a predicted model, not a curated record